UUUAAUCUUCAGUCUGUUCAUUACUCAUCUUCUGUUACAGUUGUGUUUGGUUAUAGUCUAUUUAAGGAUUAAAUGUGCAGGAUUGAUUCUCAGGGUCAUUUUUGGGUCUCCAUUGGUCAGAUGUUGUCUGUGGUCUUGAUUUUUGUUUCUCUGCUCAAAGAGAGUGCUGCUGCAAGUGUAAUAGAUCCACUGUCUUUAGAGACACACAUCAUGACAGGAGACAAUGUUACUCUCUCCUGCAGUUACAGUGGUGUUGUUGACUACUUGCAGUGGUAUCGACAAUAUCCAGGAUCUCCAGCAGAGUUUCUCAUUUUUAUCACUGAGACGAGUGGCCGAUCAGAGACUUCACUCAGACUUUCAUCUGUGGCUGAUAAAGAAAAUAAACGUGUGGAUCUGAACAUCUUCUCAGCAGAGAUUAAAGACUCUGCCAUGUAUUACUGUGCCCUGGUGCCCACAGUAACAUAA
This is a non-coding RNA of Misgurnus anguillicaudatus (oriental weatherfish), 465 nucleotides long. The record is from the annotation of a RefSeq genome assembly. Lineage: Eukaryota; Metazoa; Chordata; Actinopteri; Cypriniformes; Cobitidae.